AAGUCGUAACAAGGUUUCCGUAGGUGAACCUGCGGAAGGAUCAUUAAAAGAAAAUCAAGAAAAAGGGUUACACGGUGUUGGUAUGGAAGUUGGAAAAAUUUAUGUUGGUGUGAUUUUCAAUUAAACAAUGAAAAAUACAACUGUCAGCAACGGAUCACUUGGUUCUC
RNAcentral lists this unclassified non-coding RNA (167 nucleotides) under fungal sp. Its description in RNAcentral is "partial internal transcribed spacer region". The stretch from base 1 to 46 matches the Rfam family "Eukaryotic small subunit ribosomal RNA", at positions 1786 to 1831 of the family's 1831-position model. The record is from RNAcentral. Lineage: Eukaryota; Fungi.